AGAGUUUGAUCCUGGCUCAGGACGAACGCUGGCGGCGUGCUUAACACAUGCAAGUCGAGCGGAAAGGCCCUUCGGGGUACUCGAGCGGCGAACGGGUGAGUAACACGUGAGCAACCUGCCCCUAGCUCUGGGAUAGCUCCGGGAAACCGGGAUUAAUACCGGAUAUGACCCUGAUCGGCAUCGAUCAGGGUGGAAAGAUU
RNAcentral lists this ribosomal RNA (200 nucleotides) under uncultured bacterium. RNAcentral's name for it is "partial 16S ribosomal RNA". It matches the Rfam family "Bacterial small subunit ribosomal RNA", at positions 8 to 210 of the family's 1533-position model. The record is from RNAcentral.